Molecule: ribosomal RNA, 494 nt
Filed under: uncultured bacterium
Lineage: Bacteria
Description: partial 16S ribosomal RNA
Rfam family: Bacterial small subunit ribosomal RNA
Source: RNAcentral
ACGAACGCUGGCGGCGUGCCUAAUACAUGCAAGUAGAACGCUGAAGGAGGAGCUUGCUUCUCUGGAUGAGUUGCGAACGGGUGAGUAACGCGUAGGUAACCUGCCUGGUAGCGGGGGAUAACUAUUGGAAACGAUAGCUAAUACCGCAUAAGAGUAGAUGUCGCAUGACAUUUGCUUAAAAGGUGCAAUUGCAUCACUACCAGAUGGACCUGCGUUGUAUUAGCUAGUUGGUGAGGUAACGGCUCACCAAGGCAACGAUACAUAGCCGACCUGAGAGGGUGAUCGGCCACACUGGGACUGAGACACGGCCCAGACUCCUACGGGAGGCAGCAGUAGGGAAUCUUCGGCAAUGGACGGAAGUCUGACCGAGCAACGCCGCGUGAGUGAAGAUGGUUUUCGGAUCGUAAAGCUCUGUUGUAAGAGAAGAACGAGUGUGAGAGUGGAAAGUUCACACUGUGACGGUAUCUUACCAGAAAGGGACGGCUAACUACGUG